CUCUCUUUUACAUCUCAUCUCUCUAACUUUUCUGCCUUCUUCUAUAUUUGUGAUCAAUAUGAUUACAUUGAGGGAAUGGACAGAAACAGAAUAUAGUAGUGUGAAACUCUGUUGUCAGAGGUGAGGUCUUCUAUUUUACUUACUCUGAUAUGAUGGAUUUAUCAACCAAAGGAAUAAAACUUUAGGAAGCUCUCCUCUACCCUCGGGAGUCCUUUGCGGACCAGAAGGGUCGAACAACACUGAAGAGCAACAGCCAAGCUUCGGCAAUUUUAAAGAAAGGAAAAAAUGUGAACAAGAGCAAUGCGUGAAGAAAACGGC
Molecule: long non-coding RNA, 318 nt
Filed under: Mustela putorius furo (domestic ferret)
Lineage: Eukaryota; Metazoa; Chordata; Mammalia; Carnivora; Mustelidae
Description: lncRNA (ENSMPUG00000028788.1)
Source: RNAcentral